Molecule: ribosomal RNA, 356 nt
Filed under: uncultured bacterium
Lineage: Bacteria
Description: bacterial SSU rRNA
Rfam family: Bacterial small subunit ribosomal RNA
Source: RNAcentral
AACGAACGCUGGCGGCAGGCCUAACACAUGCAAGUCGAACGCUCCGCAAGGGAGUGGCGCACGGGUGAGUAACACGUGGGAACCUACCUUCUGGUACGGAACAACCAAGGGAAACUUUGGCUAAGACCGUAUACGACCUCCGGGUGAAAGAUUGAUCGCCGGAGAGGGGCCCGCGUCCGAUUAGGUAGUUGGUGAGGUAACGGCUCACCAAGCCUUCGAUCGGUAGCUGGUCUGAGAGGAUGACCAGCCACACUGGGACUGAGACACGGCCCACGACUCCUACGGGAGGCAGCAGUGGGGAAUAUUGGACAAUGGGCGCAAGCCUGAUCCAGCCAUGCCGCGUGAGUGAUGAAGGG